UCUGUGACGUGAAUUGCAGGACUUUGCGAACGUUAAUUCUUCGAACGCACAUUGCGGCUUUGGGUUGACUGAAGCCACGCCUGGUUGAGGGUCAGUUGAAUCAACCAUCGCGACUGCGUGUAUAGUCGCGGAUUGUCCGGAUAACGCGCUAGCGUUAGCGGAUCAAGACUAGUCCGGAUGUGGCUUCGCACACGCUGACUAGACUGCGCGAUCGUGUCGUGCGUCGGUUGGGGCUUGGGCGUCCAGAGCACAUGCACCGCUGUUGCAUGCUCGGGACUGCUGUCCAACUGAAACGUAAGCGCCGCGUGCAGUGUCUGGUGUGUGUGAGGGUGCUUGCACGUCCGUGUGUCUGUGUCUCGAGAAAAAUGUCCCCGCCGCGGACCGCUCGAGACGAGAUUAUCUCAUUCUUUUGACCUCAGCUCAGACGAGAUUACCCGCUGAACUUAAGCAUAUAA
RNAcentral lists this ribosomal RNA (455 nucleotides) under Mesocrista spitzbergensis. RNAcentral describes it as "eukaryotic LSU rRNA". The stretch from base 1 to 94 matches the Rfam family "5.8S ribosomal RNA", at positions 59 to 154 of the family's 154-position model. Lineage: Eukaryota; Metazoa; Tardigrada; Eutardigrada; Parachela; Hypsibiidae. The record is from RNAcentral.